AAUGACCUAACUCGAUUCCCCAUCUACCCUCUUUAAUCCAGGUUGUUGAUCAUUCAGAUCAACGACUAAUAUUAUCUGUUUCUUUUUUUAGCCCUAAAUGACCCCUUACCCUACCUCAUUCUUUAUUAAACACCACCCUUGAAUUCACAUUUCUCUCAAUCCUCUCUAAAGCCUCACCUGAACCCUAGACACAGCCCUCUAAUCUUAUCCUAAUUCACUCUAAUACCUACAUAAUCCAUGGUCCAUCGUGGUUAUUUAAGACGUGUAUCAGCCUCCUAUGGCUCCUAGGUAUUUGGUUAAGUGGUUUCAUGACCAGACCUUGAAGGAGUUUGGUCCAGUCCUGCUCGACUAUUGUUCAUGGCCUUUCUCCGGCCAUCCACGACCUUUCUCCGGCCAUUCAUGGCCUUUCAAGGCAAAUCAUUGACUUUUUUGGUUAGAUCGUUAACUUUCGAGGUCUUUCACACUUAUUUUGGGUUUUAUAAAACCCUAGCUCUAAGACCUUUCAAUUUCUUUCAGAUCUCUUUUAGAUCUGUACUUACUAUGAAUUUCUUAAGUAUUUUCUCGAAGGUUCUUCAACUUUUCUAGCAAAACGACUUCUCAUUUUUUCCAAUGUUUAGAGUUUUCGUUUAAGUUUUUCAAAAUUUUUCUUCUCUGAUCUUAUUGUUGUUAUGAUUUUGCUAGGUUUAAAAUGAUUUUCUCAUAUUGUUCUUCUAUCUAUUUCAGCAUAUUUAAAACCCCUAGUUCCUUCUCGUCUUAUCCGAGUUCUAAGACUGUUUGUUUAAAUGUGCACUUGUUCUUUGUUUCUGAUUUUCUUUUCCUUGUUUGACUUGUUAGAUUUUGAGUUCUUACCAUAUCUUAAUCUCGACUGCUGUUGAAGCCCUAAAUAUCUUAGAAGUUUUCUCACUUGUCACUACUGGGAGACCUUUACCUGUUUCUGAUUUCUCUUAUUCGGUACUAUGUUCUUCUUUACUAUUGAUGCUAUGUGACUACUUGGCUUACUUGACUAUUGUGCCUCAAAUAGUUUCCUUACUACUGAAUCAUAGCUUAUUUCUUCCACUACUGUAUGUUUGUGUUAUCUCUUUUGCCAAUCUAUUUGGCCUUGCAUGUUUUAUGCUUCUCUUCGCUCUAGUUAUAUACUGAAGUACAUAAUCAUAUUUCUUCCUUGAUUGAUCUUGUGACUGAUUGCAAAAGCUUUUCUUUUAUUAACCCUAAUUUCACUCACUUGCUAUAUUAAUUGAUUCCUUUCCCUUUACUGCGAUAUUUGACCUUGCUAAAUAAUUUUCAAAAUUAGCCUAUUUUAUACUUAGACUUUAUUGUUUACUGCAUGCUUUUACUGCCCCUUAUAUGGAAAUAAUCAAUCUGUCCAAACUAAUUUUCUUUCCUUAAUUGAAACUUGUUAGUACCCAUUAAGCCAUGAUUCCUUAAUUUAAGGGAAUCACUUGUGUAAUUGAUUCUAACUUAUGAUUAUUGCCAUGUUUGUAUUAAGACUUUACCUAUUACCUACUUAUCACUCGUUUUCAAAAGCUAUAUAUACCCACCCCCUCUUCUUUCAAAAGACGAACAACUUGAGUUCAAAACACAUACUCACACUUAAAACUCUCUCUUUCUUUACUGUUAUUUGUGUUAUUGUUUUGUCUAGCCGGCUGAAAGCCAAGGCUAGACUGUGGAAUGUUGCUUAAUUUUCUUUACUGCACUUUGCUUCUCUACCGGUAUGUCCUAGUUUACUUUUUAAGUCUCAACAACAAUAUGUUUCUUUAAGUUGCUUCAGUUUCUCAUUCAUGACCACUUCUGCUGACGUCUCUGUAGUCUAUUUAUGUUACUAGCAUGCUGAAAUCUAUUCCCUCCCCUGUUAAAUUAAUGCUUCCCUAGAUGUGUUCCUUUGGAUGGUUUGUGUCCAUGCCAGCAUCAGCUAUUGCGGUGGAUGACCAAACCAGACCCCUGUCGGGGUUAUACAAUGUAUCCCAUAAUCCCUUCCUCUUUUACAUUAAUGUUUCCCUAUAUAUGUACUCUGUUAUGUGAUUUGCUGAAUUAUGAAUUCCAAAUCCCAUAUCCCCCUUAUGUGUUUAUGUUCUUUUAGACCGUUUGUGUCCAUGCCAGCAUCAGUUAUUGUUGUGCAUGACUAAACCAGACCCUUUAUGGGGUCAUAUGCUUCAUACAAUGUAUUCCCAAAACACCUUGACCCCUUUGUAUAACUACUGUUUAUUUGUAUUUUGAGCUUUACUACUACUGUUUUCAAAUCACCCUUUAAUACUUACUAUUUCCAACUCAGUUUUAAUCAAUCUUUUUCCUGCACUUCCACUAUAUUCUUAGAACAUAGGUUCUGCGCCUCUUGUGUGAGCCUUGCCUUGGGACCCUUGAGAUCCGUUUGAACUUGCCAACAUAAGGAAUGGCCCUUCCACACUACACUCAUUCUUAUCUGUUUAUGCAAACCUGGGUGUAAGCAGUGCCUGGGGUCCCUUGAGACCCUUAUGGAACUUUGACACACCCAAGUAUGAGAAAGGCUUUGAACACCAUGGGCAUCUGAAGUGAUUAAUUAUAUAACUCUGAUAGGAAGUCAAGAUCAGGCUUUUUUUGGUUGUAAUUUCUUAUUUCUGCACUUCUUUUGUAAUUUAAGUAUUUGUCCUGUAAUAAUUUGUAACAAACAUUGGGGUUUGGCAAGUAAAAAG
This 2666-nucleotide long non-coding RNA is filed under the name Nicotiana benthamiana. RNAcentral's name for it is "long non-coding RNA (NBEN_LNC019546)". Lineage: Eukaryota; Viridiplantae; Streptophyta; Magnoliopsida; Solanales; Solanaceae. The record is from RNAcentral.